This 572-nucleotide ribosomal RNA is filed under the name uncultured bacterium. Its description in RNAcentral is "partial 16S ribosomal RNA". It matches the Rfam family "Bacterial small subunit ribosomal RNA", at positions 355 to 1375 of the family's 1533-position model. The record is from RNAcentral.
UGGGGAAUAUUGCACAAUGGGCGAAAGCCUGAUGCAGCGACGCCGCGUGCGGGAUGACGGCCUUCGGGUUGUAAACCGCUUUCGGCAGGGAAGAAGCCGCAAGGUGACGGUACCUGCAGAAGAAGCGCCGGCUAACUACGUGCCAGCAGCCGCGGUAAUACGUAGGGCGCAAGCGUUGUCCGGAAUUAUUGGGCGUAAAGAGCUCGUAGGCGGUUCGUCGCGUCUGCUGUGAAAUCCUCAGGCUCAACCUGGGGCGUGCAGUGGGUACGGGCGGACUAGAGUGCGGUAGGGGUGACUGGAAUUCCUGGUGUAGCGGUGGAAUGCGCAGAUAUCAGGAGGAACACCGAUGGCGAAGGCAGGUCACUGGGCCGCAACUGACGCUGAGGAGCGAAAGCAUGGGGAGCGAACAGGAUUAGAUACCCUGGUAGUCCAUGCCGUAAACGUUGGGCACUAGGUGUGGGGUCCAUUCCACGGAUUCCGUGCCGCAGCAAACGCAUUAAGUGCCCCGCCUGGGGAGUACGGCCGCAAGGCUAAAAACUUAAAAUGAAUUGACGGGGUCAUAGCUGUUUCCU